GCUGGAAUAGCGCAGUUGGCAGCGCAACUGAUUCGUAAUCAGUAGGUCGAGGGUUCAAGUCCCUUUUCCAGCU
This 73-nucleotide transfer RNA is filed under the name Lachnospiraceae bacterium. RNAcentral's name for it is "tRNA-Thr". It matches the Rfam family "tRNA". Rfam says of the family: Transfer RNA (tRNA) molecules are approximately 80 nucleotides in length. Their secondary structure includes four short double-helical elements and three loops (D, anti-codon, and T loops). Further hydrogen bonds mediate the characteristic L-shaped molecular structure. tRNAs have two regions of fundamental functional importance: the anti-codon, which is responsible for specific mRNA codon recognition, and the 3' end, to which the tRNAs corresponding amino acid is attached (by aminoacyl-tRNA synthetases). tRNAs cope with the degeneracy of the genetic code in two manners: having more than one tRNA (with a specific anti-codon) for a particular amino acid; and 'wobble' base-pairing, i.e. permitting non-standard base-pairing at the 3rd anti-codon position. RNAcentral also lists the same sequence under 2 other names. The record is from RNAcentral. Lineage: Bacteria; Bacillati; Bacillota; Clostridia; Lachnospirales; Lachnospiraceae.